AUCGUAUCCAUUUGACACAGUCCAUCGAAGAAUGAUGAUGCAGUCUGGCAGAAAAGGAGCUGAUAUCAUGUAUUCUGGAACAAUUGACUGCUGAAAAAAGAUUGCGAGAGAUGAAGGUUCCAAGGCUUUCUUCAAGGGUGCCUGGUCUAAUGUCCUCAGAGGAAUGGGUGGUUCUUUUGUGCUAGUCUUGUACGAUGAGAUGAAGAAAUGCAUCAAAACUUGACCUUGUCGAG
Non-coding RNA from Pelobates cultripes (western spadefoot toad), 233 nucleotides. NCBI's taxonomy places the organism in Eukaryota, Metazoa, Chordata, Amphibia, Anura, Pelobatidae. The record is from the annotation of a GenBank genome assembly.